UACGGAGGAUGCAAGCGUUAUCCGGAAUGAUUGGGCGUAAAGCGUCCGCAGGUGGCUAUGUAAGUCUGCUGUUAAAGAGUGAGGCUCAACCUCAUAAGAGCAGUGGAAACUACAUGGCUAGAGUGCGUUCGGGCGAGAGGGAAGUUACCUGGUGUAGCGGUGAAAUGCGUAGAGAUCAGGAAGAACACCGGUGGCGAAAGCGCUCUGCUAGGCCGCAACUGACACUCAUGGACGAAAGCUAGGGAG
RNAcentral lists this ribosomal RNA (246 nucleotides) under uncultured bacterium. RNAcentral's name for it is "partial 16S ribosomal RNA". It matches the Rfam family "Bacterial small subunit ribosomal RNA", at positions 524 to 767 of the family's 1533-position model. The record is from RNAcentral.